RNAcentral lists this transfer RNA (75 nucleotides) under archaeon. RNAcentral describes it as "tRNA-Met". It matches the Rfam family "tRNA". From Rfam's summary of the family: Transfer RNA (tRNA) molecules are approximately 80 nucleotides in length. Their secondary structure includes four short double-helical elements and three loops (D, anti-codon, and T loops). The record is from RNAcentral.
AGCGGGAUGGAGCAGUCAGGUCAGCUCGUGAGGCCCAUAACCUCAAGGUCGGUAGUUCAAAUCUACCUCCCGCUA